UGAGACACGGCCCAGACUCCUACGGGAGGCAGCAGUGGGGAAUAUUGCACAAUGGGCGGAAGCCUGAUGCAGCGACGCCGCGUGAGGGAUGACGGCCUUCGGGUUGUAAACCUCUUUCGACAGGGACGAAGCGCAAGUGACGGUACCUGUAGAAGAAGCACCGGCCAACUACGUGCCAGCAGCCGCGGUAAUACGUAGGGUGCGAGCGUUGUCCGGAAUUACUGGGCGUAAAGAGCUUGUAGGCGGUUUGUCGCGUCGUCCGUGAAAACUUGGGGCUCAACCCCAAGCUUGCGGGCGAUACGGGCAGACUUGAGUACUUCAGGGGAGACUGGAAUUCCUGGUGUAGCGGUGAAAUGCGCAGAUAUCAGGAGGAACACCGGUGGCGAAGGCGGGUCUCUGGGAAGUAACUGACGCUGAGAAGCGAAAGCGUGGGUAGCGAACAGGAUUAGAUACCCUGGUAGUCCACGCCGUAAACGGUGGGUACUAGGUGUGGGUUUCCUUCCACGGGAUCCGUGCCGUAGCUAACGCAUUAAGUACCCCGCCUGGGGAGUACGGCCGCAAGGCUAAAACUCAAAGGAAUUGACGGGGGCCCGCACAAGCGGCGGAGCAUGUGGAUUAAUUCGAUGCAACGCGAAGAACCUUACCUGGGUUUGACAUACACCGGAAACCUGCAGAGAUGUAGGCCCCCUUGUGGUCGGUGUACAGGUGGUGCAUGGCUGUCGUCAGCUCGUGUCGUGAGAUGUUGGGUUAAGUCCCGCAACGAGCGCAACCCUUGUCCUGUAUUGCCAGCGGGUUAUGCCGGGGACUUGCAGGAGACUGCCGGGGUCAACUCGGAGGAAGGUGGGGACGACGUCAAGUCAUCAUGCCCCUUAUGUCCAGGGCUUCACACAUGCUACAAUGGCCGGUACAGAGGGCUGCGAUACCGUGAGGUGGAGCGAAUCCCUUAAAGCCGGUCUCAGUUCGGAUCGGGGUCUGCAACUCGACCCCGUGAAGUUGGAGUCGCUAGUAAUCGCAGAUCAGCAACGCUGCGGUGAAUACGUUCCCGGGCCUUGUACACACCGCCCGUCACGUCAUGAAAGU
Molecule: ribosomal RNA, 1080 nt
Filed under: Nocardioides albus
Lineage: Bacteria; Bacillati; Actinomycetota; Actinomycetes; Propionibacteriales; Nocardioidaceae
Description: bacterial SSU rRNA
Rfam family: Bacterial small subunit ribosomal RNA
Source: RNAcentral